This 702-nucleotide ribosomal RNA is filed under the name uncultured bacterium. Its description in RNAcentral is "bacterial SSU rRNA". It matches the Rfam family "Bacterial small subunit ribosomal RNA", at positions 61 to 780 of the family's 1533-position model. The record is from RNAcentral.
GUCGAGCGGUCCGGCUUCGGCCGGGCAGCGGCAAAUGGGUUAGUAACACGUAGGAACAUACCCCACUCACAGGGAUAAGCCGUCGAAAGGCGGUCUAAUACCUGAUGUUCCCGAAAGGGCAAAGGUUUAGAGUAAUCUAUUCCGGAAUGGGAAUGGCCUGCGGCCUAUCAGCUUGUUGGUGAGGUAACGGCUCACCAAGGCUAUGACGGGUAGGCGGUGUGAGAGCAUGACCGCCAACAGGGGAACUGCGACAUGGUCCUCACUCCUACGGGAGGCAGCAGUCGAGAAUCUUCCACAAUGGGCGCAAGCCUGAUGGAGCGACGUCGCGUGCAGGAUGAAGGCCUUCGGGUCGUAAACUGCUUUUGGGGAGGAAGAAGUCGCCUUUGGCGACUGACGGUACUCCCAGAAUAAGGGGCCGCUAAUUUCGUGCCAGCAGCGGCGGUAAUACGAGAGCCCCGAGCGUUAUCCGGAAUUAUUGGGCGUAAAGGGUCCGUAGGCGGCUUUGUUAGUCUCCUGUUAAAUUUCAGGGCUUAACCCUGAACCCGCGGGGGAAACGGCAAAGCUCGAGAGCGUGAGAGGCUAGAGGAACUCAUGGUGUAGGGGUGAAAUCCGUUGAUAUCAUGGGGAACACCAAAGGCGAAGGCAUCUAGCUGGCGCGACUCUGACGCUGAGGGACGAAAGCGUGGGGAGUGAAUGGGAUUA